Molecule: ribosomal RNA, 253 nt
Filed under: uncultured bacterium
Lineage: Bacteria
Description: partial 16S ribosomal RNA
Rfam family: Bacterial small subunit ribosomal RNA
Source: RNAcentral
UACGUAGGGUGCAAGCGUUGUCCGGAAUUAUUGGGCGUAAAGAGCGUGUAGGCGGCCAGGUAGGUGGGUUGUGAAAACUGGAGGCUCAACCUUCAGACGUCGACCCAAACCCCCUGGCUAGAGUCCGGAAGAGGAGAGUGGAAUUCCUGGUGUAGCGGUGAAAUGCGCAGAUAUCAGGAAGAACACCCGUGGCGAAGGCGGCUCUCUGGGACGGUACUGACGCUGAGACGCGAAAGCGUGGGGAGCGAACAGG